CAUGAAGUCGGAAUUGCUAGUAAUCGUAGGUCAGCAUACUACGGUGAAUACGUUCCCGGGCCUUGUACACACCGCCCGUCAAACCAUGAGAGUUGGCAACACCCGAAGUCGGUAGUCUAACCGCAAGGAGGACGCCGCCGAAGGUGGGGGUUGAUGAUUAGGGUUAAGUCGUAACAAGGUAGC
RNAcentral lists this ribosomal RNA (183 nucleotides) under uncultured bacterium. Its description in RNAcentral is "partial 16S ribosomal RNA". It matches the Rfam family "Bacterial small subunit ribosomal RNA", at positions 1319 to 1500 of the family's 1533-position model. The record is from RNAcentral.